Molecule: non-coding RNA, 21 nt
Organism: Caenorhabditis elegans
Lineage: Eukaryota; Metazoa; Nematoda; Chromadorea; Rhabditida; Rhabditidae
Source: Ensembl
GAGUGAACGAACAUCUGAAGC